RNAcentral lists this long non-coding RNA (206 nucleotides) under Mytilus galloprovincialis (Mediterranean mussel). Lineage: Eukaryota; Metazoa; Mollusca; Bivalvia; Mytilida; Mytilidae. The record is from RNAcentral.
UAACAAUACGCACAUUAAAAUUCAGUUCAAGAGAAGUCCGAGUCCGAUGUCAGAAGAUGUAACAAAAGAAAAUAAAUAAAAUGACAAUAAUACAUACAUAACAACAGACUACUAGCAGUUAACUGACAUGCCAGCUCCAGACCUCAAUUAAACUGAUUGAAAGAUUAUGUCUUCAUCAUAUGAAUAUCAGGCACAAUCCCUCCCGU